AAUACACCAUUAAAACGUCGCACAUAUAUCGACACACCUGCCUGGGUGCCCAUUACCGUUAUGUAAGGGGUUGGCUGGUGGGAUAUAUGGAGGCCUAAC
RNAcentral lists this small RNA (99 nucleotides) under Alteromonadaceae bacterium Bs31. RNAcentral describes it as "t44 RNA". It matches the Rfam family "t44 RNA". From Rfam's summary of the family: This family consists of a number of bacterial RNA genes of between 135 and 170 bases in length. The t44 gene is found between the map and rpsB genes in all species in the full alignment apart from Shigella flexneri. The record is from Rfam by way of RNAcentral. Lineage: Bacteria; Pseudomonadati; Pseudomonadota; Gammaproteobacteria; Alteromonadales; Alteromonadaceae.